CCUACGGGUGGCAGCAGUAGGGAAUUUUCGGCAAUGGGCGCAAGCCUGACCGAGCAAUGCCGCGUGAACGAGGAAGGUCUUCGGAUCGUAAAGCUCUGUUGAAGGGGAAAAAGAGCGGCUAGAGGAACUGGUCUCCGCUUGAUAUUAUCUUUCCAGGAAGCCACGGCUAACUACGUGCCAGCAGCCGCGGUAAUACGUAGGUGGCGAGCGUUAUCCGGAAUGAUUGGGCGUAAAGGGUGCGUAGGCGGCCUGGUAAGUCUGGGGUGAAAGGUACCGGCUCAACCGGUACAGGCUCUGGAAACUGGCGGGCUUGAGAGCAGGAGAGGGCGGUGGAACUCCAGGUGUAGCGGUAAAAUGCGUAGAUAUAUGGAGGAACACCAGUGGCGAAGGCGACCGCCUGGUCUGUUACUGACGCUGAGGCACGAAAGCGUGGGGAGCAAAUAGGAUUAGAUACCCUUGUAGUC
This 464-nucleotide ribosomal RNA is filed under the name uncultured bacterium. RNAcentral describes it as "partial 16S ribosomal RNA". It matches the Rfam family "Bacterial small subunit ribosomal RNA", at positions 338 to 795 of the family's 1533-position model. The record is from RNAcentral.